CCCUCUCUAGUUUGCGUUGUUGAUCGGUUGAUGCUGCUUGUUUUGUUUCUUGGCAGUCUCUACGUUUAUAUGUUACGGAAAAAUGAACAACUACUGCAUUAUUCAGACGACAUAAAAUGAACACACUCUUUUAUCUGUGCUACCUUCUCUAUGGAUUGUUAAAAACGGAUGGAAAUCCAAUGAAAAAAGGAUUCACAUAAUACUGAUGGUGAUGAUUUGUGUUACUGGCCGCAAGGCGUUGCGGGAUGUCGCCUACUCGAGAAAACCAAGAAAAAUCCCAGUAUAAAACCGGAUACAAAGGUGCUGCGUGCUUUUAGGUGCAAAAUAAAAAGGACAAAAUUUGAAAGCUAUUUUGAGGCGUUCCGGGAAUUAAAGAUAAUGGAGGCGAAUUCGGAUACCGACGAAUAUGCAAACAUGAAGAGUCUGAGAAAAGUUUCAACAGCUACUGAACUUUUCAACCAGAUCCAGCAAACAAAGCCUGUACCAUCUCCGGAACUCAAAUAUUCGAACAAAUACGCAGAAUUCGCAGAGCCUCCAGAUUUUGCGCGACCUGACCAUAAGAUUGAUAUGCGAUACAAUAGUUCUUCGCUGUUGGAGUCGAAUAUGAGUGAAAAUGAUUUCUGUGGUCUGCCACAUACAUUAUUAUUGAAUCAGCCUCCAGUUAACGAUGAUCUAUGACGCCGGAUCUGUGCAAAGUACUGCAGGCAUUGCAUGUGGAGGUUGAGAGGAACAGUAAUAAGAUUGAAGAAUGUAAACUUGUUGGUAACAGAUCUAUUGCACUUUUUUCUCAAGUCAAUGCGAAACUAGAUUUGCUUGCAAACCAAGUCAAUAUCAAACUUGACACCUGUGUUUCACAGAAGUUACUGCGAACCGAACAGAAUGGAACUGAAUCAAUCAGUGCUCCCUUGAGCCCGGUUAAAAGUGAAGAAGAAUUUAAAUCUUUGGAAAAGAAAACUGAUAAUAAGCAGUUUGUUGAAGCUGUUAUCAAAUAUCUUGGUUUCAUGCAUGGCAAGAGCCGGUAUGUUGGGGAAGGCGGGACUGUUUGCCUGCAAAUCGUGGACUAUUUUUUCGACCGAGAGUUUUUAAUGAAUUGCUCAUGGACUGGAACGAGCAGAAAUAAAAAUAGCGAAGAAAACAUUCAAUCGAAAAUACCGUUUCAUAAGUUUGACGGCGUCAUUAAUUUAUUCCACGAGGUGGCCAUGUUCUCCGAUCCAUCAUAUUCGCUUGUUCAGACCCAGAAUUUUCUUAAACGUUGUUUGAGAAAUGCCAAACAACGUUUCUCAGAAAUAAAAGGAAUAAGAGCUUCCGUUGCAAGAAAGAGGCGUAGGAGAGUUACGAAACAAUCUGUUCUAAGUGAUGAAGAGGAAAGGCAGUAUGAAGAAGAACCAUUUGUGGAAUACGAAGAACUUGUGAAAGAUUAAGAAGAGUUGAAUCAGGAUGAAGUAGAAGAACUGCUAGCUGAAAACAAUCUACAGGGAAGAAUGGAUAUUAUUCAAAAUAAUAUUUCGGUUAAAGAAUACUUGGUAGAAGAAUUUUGAUGCAGGAGUAGAAGACUACAAAACUGUUAUUGUUUUACCUUUGUUAUACUAAACAAAGGUUAUAAAAUCGGUCGAAAAACGCAAAAUAGAUCCAUGAUCCGGAGGGCCAAAUCGUAUAUACCAUUCGACUCAGCUCGACGAACUGAGCAAUGUCUGUUCGUGUGUAUGUGUGUGUAUAACGCAAUAUCCGAUUUUAAUGGUCCUAUACGCAAACGAAAGCUACUGUGCUCCCCCAGAAUGCUACCGAGUGGAUUUUUGAUUAGUGGCUUAGAUUUUAAAGUAUUGAUCAAAGUGUAUUUUUUAUAUAAGAAAUUUAACUUUUAAGGCAAAAUUAAUGGCACGGAGAGCCAUGUGCUGUAUACCAAUUUGCUCAGAUCGACGAAUUGAACAUUUUUUGUAUGUUUGUGUAUGUGUGCCUGUACGAAUGUAUGUGUAAAUAUGUUUUUUUUUUACUCAUCUAUAGUUUAUUUGACACGGCACAAAUACAAUUCAAUGUUUAACGGCGCCAAUUAUAUCUGGUAGCUUACUUUCUAAAGUAUCUUAAUAACUAAAAGCAAAUUUUUUAUCCUCGCUGCCGACUACGAGCUGAAACUAAAUCUAACUUAAAGCUAGAAUAUUUUGCAUUAAAAGCACAGGUUUGCUGUUUGAUGGUUUUCAUUGCCAUAGGUAAGCAGCAUAUUAAAUUUGUUCCGCUGCUGGGCCAAGAUAUUACGGACUGGCAUAUUGGGUUGUUUCCAUCGGGCCUUGAGAGUAUCGUGCGGGUCUGAUUGCUGUUUCCGGAUCCGGGGUCUUAACGUGUUCUUGUCGUUUGGUUGGAUGUAGGCGGAAGGGAAUAGGAUUAAACUGGGGUGUGGAUGGAUUUCAGGAAAACGUAUAUAAGGGACAUGUAGGAUAGGUCACGGCUCGCCAAGACAUCACGAACAGGAACAGCCGGCUGCCUACCUUCAGCCUGCAGGGAAGCUAUUAAUCUAGACCUGGCGUCACGGUGUACAGGGCAUGACCAAACAACGUGCUCUAUGUCGUGAUAACCUUCACCACAGGCACAGAUACCACUCUCCCCGAGCCCAACACGACGGAGAUGCGCGUCAAAUCUAUAGUGAUUGGACAUAAGCCGGGACAUCACGCAAAUGAAAUUCCGACCUACAUCCAACCCCUUGAACCACGGGUUCGUCGAUACCUUGGGGAUUAUGGAAUGUAACCACCUUCCCAGUUCCCCCUUGGUCCAAGAAUUUUGCCAACUGAUGAUCGUAUUCUGACGUACAAAUGCGAAAAAUUCCUUAAAGGCAAUUGGUCUUACAUAAAUAUCACCGUUUGUUGCGCCCACCUUAGCCAAAGAGUCCGCUUUCUCAUUACCCGGUAUCGAGCAGUGAGAAGGGACCCACGCUAAGGUAAUCUGAGUAGAUUUUUCGGAUAAAGCACUCAGAUGUUUCCGUAUUUUCCCCAGGAAAUACGGAGAGUGCUCAACAUCUUUCAUCGAUCGGAGAGCCUCAAUGGAACUGAAACUGUCCGUAAAGAUGAAAUAAUGGUCCUUGGGCAUUUUUUCGAUAAUCCCUAGGGUGUACUGAAUUGCAGCUAAUUCUGCGACGUAAACAGAAGCAGGAUUAUCGAGCUUAUGGGAGACGGUUAAAUUGUUAUUGAAGAUACCGAAGCCAGUGGACCCAUCAAGAAGUGAUCCGUCAGUGUAGUACAUAUUGUCGCAGUUGAUGUUUCGAUAUUUAUUGGAAAAAAUUUUAGGGAUCUGCUGCACGCGUAAAUGAUCCGGGAUUCCACGAGUUUCUUCUAUCAUGGAUGUAUCGAAAAACACAGUAGAAUCAGAAGUAUUUGAUAAGUCGACACGAUUUGGAAUAUUCGAAGAAGGGUUAGUAUUUUGGGACAUGUGAUUGAAAUACAAUGUCAUAAAACGGGUUUGAGAAUUAAGUUCGAUUAACCUUUCAAAAUUUUCAAUCACGGGACGGUUCGAGACCUCACAUUUGAUUAGAAUACGAGAAGACAGGCUCCAGAAGCGGGUUUUCAAUGGUAGUACUCCAGCUAAGAUCUCCAAACUCAUCGUAUGGGUCGAUUGCAUGCAACCCAAGGCGAUAC
Long non-coding RNA from Wyeomyia smithii (pitcher-plant mosquito), 3620 nucleotides. RefSeq lists it as uncharacterized. NCBI's taxonomy places the organism in Eukaryota, Metazoa, Arthropoda, Insecta, Diptera, Culicidae. The record is from RefSeq and is a predicted model, not a curated record. The transcript has 4 exons.